AGAGUUUGAUCCUGGCUCAGGAUGAACGCUGGCGGCGCGCCUAACACAUGCAAGUCGAACGGCACCUGCCCUCGGGCAGAAGCGAGUGGCGAACGGCUGAGUAACACGUGGAGAACCUGCCCCCUCCCCCGGGAUAGCCGCCCGAAAGGACGGGUAAUACCGGAUACCCCGGGGUGCCGCAUGGCACCCCGGCUAAAGCCCCGACGGGAGGGGAUGGCUCCGCGGCCCAUCAGGUAGACGGCGGGGUGACGGCCCACCGUGCCGACAACGGGUAGCCGGGUUGAGAGACCGACCGGCCAGAUUGGGACUGAGACACGGCCCAGACUCCUACGGGAGGCAGCAGUGGGGAAUCUUGCGCAAUGGGGGGAACCCUGACGCAGCGACGCCGCGUGCGGGACGGAGGCCUUCGGGUCGUAAACCGCUUUCAGCAGGGAAGAGUCAAGACUGUACCUGCAGAAGAAGCCCCGGCUAACUACGUGCCAGCAGCCGCGGU
Molecule: ribosomal RNA, 493 nt
Filed under: uncultured bacterium
Lineage: Bacteria
Description: bacterial SSU rRNA
Rfam family: Bacterial small subunit ribosomal RNA
Source: RNAcentral